CCUACGGGUGGCAGCAGUGGGGAAUAUUGCACAAUGGAGGAGACUCUGAUGCAGCAACGUAGCGUGAGUGAAGAAGUCCCUCGGGAUGUAAAGCUUCAUCAGUAGGGAAGUGAAAGACUGUACCUGUCGAAGAAGCUCCGGAUAACUACGUGCCAGCAGCCGUGGUAAUACGGAGGGAGCGAGCGUUAUCCGGAUUUUCUGGGUGUUAAGGGAGCGUAGAGGGUUUGGCAAGUCUGUAGUGAAAGUUCGUGGCUUAACCGCGGAAUGGCUGUUGAAACUGUGGAACUGGAGUACUGUAGAGGCAAGCGGAAUUCGUAGUGUAGCGGUGAAAUGCUUAGAUAUUAGGAAGAACUCCGAUUGCGAAGGCAGCUUACUGGACUGUAACUGACAUUGAGGCUCGAAAGUGUGGGUAUCAAACAGGAUUAGAUACCCCAGUAGUC
This 440-nucleotide ribosomal RNA is filed under the name uncultured bacterium. Its description in RNAcentral is "partial 16S ribosomal RNA". It matches the Rfam family "Bacterial small subunit ribosomal RNA", at positions 338 to 795 of the family's 1533-position model. The record is from RNAcentral.